This 305-nucleotide ribosomal RNA is filed under the name uncultured bacterium. Its description in RNAcentral is "bacterial SSU rRNA". It matches the Rfam family "Bacterial small subunit ribosomal RNA", at positions 338 to 660 of the family's 1533-position model. The record is from RNAcentral.
CCUACGGGGGGCAGCAGUGGGGAAUAUUGCACAAUGGGGGAAACCCUGAUGCAGCGACGCCGCGUGAGCGAUGAAGUAUUUCGGUAUGUAAAGCUCUCUCAGCAGGGAAGAAAAUGACGGUACCUGACUAAGAAGCCCCGGCUAACUACGUGCCAGCAGCCGCGGUAAUACGUAGGGGGCAAGCGUUAUCCGGAUUUACUGGGUGUAAAGGGAGCGUAGACGGCGAUGCAAGCCAGCUGUGAAAGCCCGGGGCUCAACCCCGGGACUGCAUUUGGAACUGUAUAGCUAGAGUGUCGGGGCGGCAG